This 329-nucleotide unclassified non-coding RNA is filed under the name soil metagenome. Its description in RNAcentral is "partial contains 5.8S ribosomal RNA, internal transcribed spacer 2, and large subunit ribosomal RNA". The stretch from base 1 to 120 matches the Rfam family "5.8S ribosomal RNA", at positions 35 to 154 of the family's 154-position model. The record is from RNAcentral.
GAUGAAGAACGUAGUGAAAUGCGAAAAGUAAUGUGAAUUGCAGAAUUCAGUGAAUCAUCGAAUCUUUGAACGCACAUUGCGCCCCUUGGUAUUCCGAGGGGCAUGCCUGUUCGAGCGUCAUUAUAACCCCUCAAGCUCAGCUUGGUGUUGGGGCCUGCUGCACUGGCAGCCCUUAAAAUCAGUGGCGGCGCCAUCUGGCUCUAAGCGUAGUAAUUCUUCUCGCUAUGGAGUCCUGGUGGAUGCUUGCCAUCAACCCCCAAUUUUUCUAUGGUUGACCUCGGAUCAGGUAGGGAUACCCGCUGAACUUAAGCAUAUCAAUAAGCGGAGGA